UACGUAGGGUGCAAGCGUUAAUCGGAAUUACUGGGCGUAAAGCGUGCGCAGGCGGUUGUGCAAGACAGGGGUGAAAUCCCCGGGCUUAACCUGGGAACUGCACUUGUGACUGCACAGCUGGAGUACGGCAGAGGGGGAUGGAAUUCCGCGUGUAGCAGUGAAAUGCGUAGAUAUCUGGAGGAAUACCGGUGGCGAAGGCGGCAUCCUGGACCGACAUUGACACUGAGGAGCGAAAGCUAGGGGAGCAAACGGG
RNAcentral lists this ribosomal RNA (253 nucleotides) under uncultured bacterium. RNAcentral's name for it is "partial 16S ribosomal RNA". It matches the Rfam family "Bacterial small subunit ribosomal RNA", at positions 524 to 776 of the family's 1533-position model. The record is from RNAcentral.